CCCAGCCAUAACCUCUUCUGGACCCAAUCCUGACCCUGCCCACACCUCCCAUGUAACCCACUCUGACCCAGCCACCGCCUCAUGUCACUCACACAGGGUAGAGCAUGAGUCCAUGGCCAAUGUCCCAACCUCCUGGAAUCUCUCCAACUGUCAUGGAACCUCCCCCAACUCCAGCUGCAGGCUUGACUGAAGCCCUGAGGCCUGCCUCUGGGCAGCAGGGGAGACAAGAGGACAUAGAAGAAGGGCCAGAGGGAUUCAAACCGCAAAGGACCAAGCCGGAACCUGGGAGGGAGACCAACAGAUUUCCAGGUGGCCAUGGAGGUGUCUGGAAGGAGGAGCUGAAGCGGUUGGCAGGCUGUUUAGUGCAUCUGGGGACUGGCCUUGCCCACAUCCCCACAUGUCCCAGAGGCCCCAAUCUGGCCCCCAGAGCACCAAGCCAAGUUUCCUUCCAGCAGCAUCCAGUAAUACUCAAAAUGAGACUGAAGUCUCCCCACCAAUUACCUACAGGCCCCGGGUCAGUAUCCAAGGCUUUCAGCCCAUUACCAACAGUGACCAGGUCAGCAUCCAAGAGCCCUUGUCCAUUAUCCACAAUCACCAUGUCCAAGACCCUCCACUAGUCCACGGUUGCUGGGCCAGUACCCAAGACGCACCACCCAUUAUCAAUAGUGGCUGGAUCAGUACUGAGGACACGCCGUCCACCAUGAACAGUCAUCAGCUCAGUAUCCAAGACACAUCGUCAGUUACCUACAGUCACCGCUUCAGUACCCGAGAUGUUCCACCAAUUUCCCAAAAUCACCACUUCAGCAUCCAAAAUUCUCCAUUACUAUCUCAAGAGACCAAUAUAGAGUCUCUUAUCUACAGUGGUAGCCAAGUCAUUAGCCAAGACCAUCUUCCAACAAACCAGAGUCCCUGCUCAAGUACUCAAUGCCUCAUAUCGCCGAUCCAGGCCAAGGUUGAUGCCUCACCUUCAAUUACUCACAUCUCCACAGCCAGUAUCAAAAGCCUUGAUUCAACCAUCUGGACCUCCCAAGAGAGUUCCAAAGACACUAUGGACAGCUUCCUGGGCAACCCAAGUACUCUAGACAACAAUGUCCAGAGCAUACAGUCAAACAGAUCUGCAAAGAUGGAUUCUGGCAGGUGUCAGAGAAAGAGUACAUGCAGCCAAUCACAGCUGCCCCUGGGCUGGCGGCUGCUACACAGAGCCAAGAAGAUCAGCCAUCAGUGCCCUGACAUCUCCUGCCUCCAUGAGUACGACCAGAAUGCUUGUUUCCUUUCCUAUCUGAACUACAUGAACUUCUGGUCCAUCCUGGCGCUCCAGGCCACCUGAAUUUAGGACACAGGAACAACCCCACCUAUGGCCUGCUCCCACUGCUCCCUGUCAAGCACUUGACCGCCCUACUCUCUAGCUCCCCACCCCCACUGAGAGUUUUGCCCUUUUCAUUCCCCUCUCAAUCCCCUCACUCAGAUUAAUAAUCUGUAUAUUUAAAUAAUCUGUAGCUUUUGCCCAGAAUAUUCUCUUAAACUCAAUACCUUCUAAGUGUUCUGUGGAAAUGCCAUCUCUCACUGGGUCCAUCCCUUGGGCCCUCUGGGGUGGAGGGAUAGGUGACAGAAGGGAUUCAGAGGAACGAGGUGCAAGGCACAAGGUCAACAAAAGGCUGCGUCAGUGGUUGUUGGCAUACAUAUACAUGGUGUCAAUCAAUGUUUGUUGAAAAGCUGAUGCUCUCCAAGCCCUUAGGGCUUCAUUGUUUACUUCCCUGACCCCCAAUAAUGUGCCCCUCCUGAGGCAAAUUCUCCCUGCACUCACACGUCACCUCCUGCCCUUACCAGCAGCCCCUGUCAUCGCCUCUUCUUUCUUCUCCCCAAACUCCCCCAACACAGGGCUGUUCUUUUUUAAAAAUUGUCUGUCUAUCUAUCUAUCCAUCCAUCCAUCCAUUUUUCAGGCUGUUCCAUGUAGCAUAUUUUUGCUAUCAGAGUCAUUUGCUGAAUUGAAACUCAAUGUAUUGAAACUCAAAUACAAAUUUAUCUCAUUACCUGGGUCCCCCUACAGGCCCUUGACCUGGGGGUCCCUUCUAUCUCCCUUUCACACAGUGGUUAAGCUGGAAAGGUUAAGUCUAGGCUCUGUCACUUACUAUCUCUGUGACC
This 2142-nucleotide long non-coding RNA is filed under the name Suricata suricatta (meerkat). RNAcentral describes it as "lncRNA (ENSSSUG00005022035.1)". Lineage: Eukaryota; Metazoa; Chordata; Mammalia; Carnivora; Herpestidae. The record is from RNAcentral.